AAAUUAAAUAUUCUCCGAGCAAAAGUAUCUAAGGCAGAGCUAUGAUACUGCGCCAAGUAAUAUAUAAAUUACUUCAGGUUAUGAUGGAAACGUUAUAGCCAUCCGUUAUUUGAGAAGGAGAAAAUAUAAGGGGUAG
This 136-nucleotide non-coding RNA is filed under the name Intestinibacter bartlettii. RNAcentral describes it as "Clostridium bartlettii MoCo sequence". It matches the Rfam family "Molybdenum/Tungsten riboswitch aptamer (Moco RNA motif)". RNAcentral also lists the same sequence under 1 other name. Lineage: Bacteria; Bacillati; Bacillota; Clostridia; Peptostreptococcales; Peptostreptococcaceae. The record is from RNAcentral.